AGCCCACUUUUAAUAUUGGCAAUUCUUAGAAUUUCUGCCGCCAGACUACCCAUUCUCCCUACAUCCAUUCAAUCGACCCCAACCGUUUUUCCCUUGAACCGACCCGAAUAGCGCCUUUCUUUUCUUCUUUCACGCGAGAAACAACCAAAUUCGAGGAAAUUCCAGCGAGUCAACAGAACAAGUAGCGCGUGAACGACACCCAGACGAAGACAGCAACAACGGCUUCGAACAGUGCCUUUCCCGUCAAAAUACACGGACAAGCAGAUGCGUUUCUCUUUUGCGUGUGGUCGUCUCUCUUCCCAGUAUAGAGCAGCAGCGCGAAGCAGACGCGGAUCGUCCUUGCUCGUGCAGAUGCGCGACACGUCGCGCCAAGGAAGAUCCAGUUAAUCUCAGUCGUUCAUCCCUCUUUCCUCACCCGGAAUAAGGUCAAAAUUUCAGAAAAAGUGGCUCCUCCAAAAAUGGAAAUUUUUGAGAUGUUUGAUUUUUUAAUUGGUCUCCUUAGUCCGUUUUUGUUUGGUGUUUCUGUUUUCCCCCAGAAAAUUAAAAAACACUAAUCCCCCUCUAUAUAACAUCUCUUCCAUUUCAUUGAGAGGGGGUCAUAAUUUUUUUUGAGUUGAAAAUCAGGGAGAAGUAAGGCAAGAAAAGAAAAUUGAAAAUAUGGACCCUUUUUACUGAUACUAAGCAUAAAAGAAAACCAGUCCUAAUCAAGCUUGAUUUCCUCUGUUUUUCGCUCGGCAUAAGCUUGUCCGGAGUUGGGAUUUCAUCUAUUGUCCUAUCUAUUGUUUGUCUUCGAGUCUCAUGGUGAAGGCCGCUACCUCUUUGCUCGCCCAACCUUAGUUCGUUGCACCCAAGAAACGUUUACUUUUCCCCGCAUUUUCGAGAGAGUCAUAAAGACUCGUAGUUUUAUCGAGUUAGCCGGCCUCUAACUUCGACGUACAUAUCUUGGAGUUGAAAAAUUAAGGCGGAGGAGAUUUGAAGAAGUUGGGCCAAAAAGGCUUUCCUUUCAAUAUUGUAAACAGUUGUAUUUCUUUAUUUUUGAGCUUGUCAUCUUUUAUUACUAUUAUUAUCUUGAAAGUUUAGGACAUGUACCGUUGAAAUGGGACGAAGGCCCAAAACAAAAUGGUCCAGGCGGACGGAAACUUGAUUUGGACCCAA
Molecule: long non-coding RNA, 1155 nt
Organism: Solanum pennellii
Lineage: Eukaryota; Viridiplantae; Streptophyta; Magnoliopsida; Solanales; Solanaceae
Exons: 2
Source: RefSeq, a predicted model, not a curated record